CGUGUAGGCGGUUUAUUAAGUCAGAUGUGAAAGCCCACGGCUUAACCGUGGAACUGCAUUUGAUACUGAUAGGCUUGAGUAUGAGAAGGGGUAGUGGAAUUCCCAGUGUAGCGGUGAAAUGCGUAGAUAUUGGGAAGAACACCAGUAGCGAAGGCGACUACCUGGCUCAUUACUGACGCUAAUGCGCGAAAGCGCGGGAGCAAACA
RNAcentral lists this ribosomal RNA (206 nucleotides) under uncultured bacterium. Its description in RNAcentral is "partial 16S ribosomal RNA". It matches the Rfam family "Bacterial small subunit ribosomal RNA", at positions 568 to 774 of the family's 1533-position model. The record is from RNAcentral.